RNAcentral lists this ribosomal RNA (492 nucleotides) under uncultured bacterium. RNAcentral's name for it is "partial 16S ribosomal RNA". It matches the Rfam family "Bacterial small subunit ribosomal RNA", at positions 28 to 507 of the family's 1533-position model. The record is from RNAcentral.
GAUGAACGCUAGCUACAGGCUUAACACAUGCAAGUCGAGGGGAAACGACAUCGAAAGCUUGCUUUUGAUGGGCGUCGACCGGCGCACGGGUGAGUAACGCGUAUCCAACCUGCCCACCACUUGGGGAUAACCUUGCGAAAGUAAGACUAAUACCCAAUGAUAUCCCACGAAGACAUCUGAAUGGGAUUAAAGAUUUAUCGGUGAUGGAUGGGGAUGCGUCUGAUUAGCUUGUUGGCGGGGUAGCGGCCCACCAAGGCAACGAUCAGUAGGGGUUCUGAGAGGAAGGUCCCCCACAUUGGAACUGAGACACGGUCCAAACUCCUACGGGAGGCAGCAGUGAGGAAUAUUGGUCAAUGGGCGAGAGCCUGAACCAGCCAAGUAGCGUGCAGGAAGACGGCCCUAUGGGUUGUAAACUGCUUUUAUAAGGGAAUAAAGUGGGUCACGUGUGACUUUUUGCAUGUACCUUAUGAAUAAGGACCGGCUAAUUCCGUG